GCAGAGUAAAUUUGUGUGCGUGAUACGGGUCUGAAAGGGCCUGUAUAUAGUGUCGCACGGACGGGGAGUUGCCGUGCGGACGAAAAGAUGAUCCUGCGAUACACAAGUUGCAUCCCGCUG
RNAcentral lists this non-coding RNA (120 nucleotides) under bovine gut metagenome. Its description in RNAcentral is "THF riboswitch". It matches the Rfam family "THF (Tetrahydrofolate) riboswitch aptamer". Rfam says of the family: THF riboswitch presents a pseudoknot that joins P1-P2 and the loop of P3 and two THF binding. The record is from RNAcentral.